RNAcentral lists this ribosomal RNA (506 nucleotides) under uncultured bacterium. Its description in RNAcentral is "bacterial SSU rRNA". It matches the Rfam family "Bacterial small subunit ribosomal RNA", at positions 30 to 524 of the family's 1533-position model. The record is from RNAcentral.
CGAACGUUGGCAGUGCGUUUUAAGCAUGCAAGUCGAACGGUAACAGGGUCUUCGGACCGCUGACGAGUGGCGAACGGGUGAGUAACACGUAGGUGAUCUACCUAGAAGUUGGGGAUAGCUCAUGGAAACAUGGGGUAAUACCGAAUACGAUUCAUAUACUAUGGUUAAUGAAUGAAAGGGGCUUUGGCCUCGCUUUUAGAUGAGCCUGCGGCUGAUUAGUUAGUUGGUGGGGUAAAGGCCUACCAAGGCGACGAUCAGUAGCCGGCCUGAGAGGGCGAUCGGCCACACUGGGACUGAGAUACGGCCCANACUCCUACGGGAGGCAGCAGCUAAGAAUCUUCCGCAAUGGGCGAAAGCCUGACGGAGCGACACUGCGUGAGUGAGGAAGGCGGAAACGUUGUAAAACUCUUUUCUAGAUGAGGAAUAAGCAUAGGAGGGAAUGCCUGUGUGAUGACGUUAAUCUAGGAAUAAGCCCCGGCUAAUUACGUGCCAGCAGCCGCGGUAAC